Molecule: transfer RNA, 72 nt
Organism: Phytophthora infestans T30-4
Lineage: Eukaryota; Oomycota; Peronosporomycetes; Peronosporales; Peronosporaceae
Rfam family: tRNA
About the family: Transfer RNA (tRNA) molecules are approximately 80 nucleotides in length. Their secondary structure includes four short double-helical elements and three loops (D, anti-codon, and T loops).
Source: Rfam
CCGCUUUUAGCUCAGUGGUCGAGCGUUGGCUUUGGAAGCCACAGGUCGGUGGUUCGAGCCCACCAGGGCACA